AAAAACAAUAUACUUUCAAUAUAAGCCUUUUCACCUGUUUGAUUCAACAAAUUGAAUACAUCCUCAUAAACUGGUUAAAUAAUAAGAUCAAGGUCUGUUCAAAAUUUAUACUGAACAUUACAACCACUAUCACUAGCAAGUACCAAUAUGAUCUCUUGAACAUUACAACCACUAUCACUAGCAAGUACCAAUAUGAUCUCUUGCAAAAAAAAUAUUUAUUUCAAGCAUACAGCGAAGAAACAUAACGCCAGCAAUGGUGAGAACUUGGUAGCUAUCGGUUAC
RNAcentral lists this long non-coding RNA (282 nucleotides) under Solanum lycopersicum (tomato). RNAcentral's name for it is "long non-coding RNA (SLYC_LNC000984)". The record is from RNAcentral. Lineage: Eukaryota; Viridiplantae; Streptophyta; Magnoliopsida; Solanales; Solanaceae.